GAAUAUUGCACAAUGGGCGAAAGCCUGAUGCAGCGACGCCGCGUGAGGGAUGACGGCCUUCGGGUUGCAAACCUCUUUCAGCAGGGAAGAAGCGAAAGUGACGGUACCUGCAGAAGAAGCGCCGGCUAACUACGUGCCAGCAGCCGCGGUAAAACGUAGGACGCAAGCGUUAUCCGGAAUUACUGGGCGUAAAGCGCGUGUAGGUGGUUGCAUAAGUCAUCGUUGAAAGCUCCCGGCUAAACUGGGAGAGGUGCGGUGAGACUGUGCGGCUAGAGUAUGGGAGAGGGAUGCAGAAUUCCGGGUGUAGUGGUGAAAUGCGUAGAGAUCCGGAGGAAUACCAGAGGCGAAGGCGGCAUCCUGGCCUAAAACUGACACUGAGACGCGAAAGCAUGGGGAGCGAAC
RNAcentral lists this ribosomal RNA (402 nucleotides) under uncultured bacterium. RNAcentral describes it as "bacterial SSU rRNA". It matches the Rfam family "Bacterial small subunit ribosomal RNA", at positions 359 to 773 of the family's 1533-position model. The record is from RNAcentral.